GCGCGCCUAACACAUGCAGUCGAACGAGCGAGAGAGAGCUUGCUUUCUCGAGCGAGUGGCGAACGGGUGAGUAACGCGUGAGGAACCUGCCUCAAAGAGGGGGACAACAGUUGGAAACGACUGCUAAUACCGCAUAAGCCCACGGCUCGGCAUCGAGCAGGGGGAAAAGGAGUGAUCCGCUUUGAGAUGGCCUCGCGUCCGAUUAGCUAGUUGGUGAGGUAACGGCCCACCAAGGCGACGAUCGGUAGCCGGACUGAGAGGUUGAACGGCCACAUUGGGACUGAGACACGGCCCAGACUCCUACGGGAGGCAGCAGUGGGGAAUAUUGCACAAUGGGGGAAACCCUGAUGCAGCGACGCCGCGUGGAGGAAGAAGGUCUUCGGAUUGUAAACUCCUGUUGUUGGGGAAGAUAAUGACGGUACCCAACAAGGAAGUGACGGCUAACUACGUGCCAGCAGCCGCGGUAAAACGUAGGUCACAAGCGUUGUCCGGAAUUACUGGGUGUAAAGGGAGCGCAGGCGGGAAGACAAGUUGGAAGUGAAAUCUAUGGGCUCAACCCAUAAACUGCUUUCAAAACUGUUUUUCUUGAGUAGUGCAGAGGUAGGCGGAAUUCCCGGUGUAGCGGUGGAAUGCGUAGAUAUCGGGAGGAACACCAGUGGCGAAGGCGGCCUACUGGGCACCAACUGAC
This 688-nucleotide ribosomal RNA is filed under the name uncultured Lachnospiraceae bacterium. RNAcentral describes it as "bacterial SSU rRNA". It matches the Rfam family "Bacterial small subunit ribosomal RNA", at positions 42 to 744 of the family's 1533-position model. The record is from RNAcentral. Lineage: Bacteria; Bacillati; Bacillota; Clostridia; Lachnospirales; Lachnospiraceae.